CUAGAUAUAUACAAUACAUGACAGUCAAUUUUUUCGAGAGUUUGAUCCUGGCUCAGGAUGAACGCUGGCUGUGUGCCUAAUACAUGCAUGUCGAGCGGAGUUCUUCGGAACUUAGCGGCGAAUGGGUGAGUAACACGUACUUAACGUGCCCACUAGAUUGGAAUAACGCUGAGAAAUUAGCGCUAAUGCCGGAUACUUAUUAAUUUCGCAUGAAGUUAAUAUAAAAGGAGCAAUUGCUUCACUAGUGGAUCGGGGUGCGUAACAUUAGCUAGUUGGUAAGGUAAUGGCUUACCAAGGCGAUGAUGUUUAGCGGGGUUGAGAGACUGAUCCGCCACACUGGGACUGAGAUACGGCCCAGACUCCUACGGGAGGCAGCAGUAGGGAAUUUUCCACAAUGGACGAAAGUCUGAUGGAGCGACACAGCGUGCAGGAUGAAGGCCUUCGGGUUGUAAACUGCUGUUAUAAGGGAAGAAAAAACAAAGGAGUGGAAAGCCUUUGUCUUGACGGUACCUUGUCAGAAAGCAACGGCUAACUAUGUGCCAGCAGCCGCGGUAAUACAUAGGUUGCAAGCGUUAUCCGGAAUUAUUGGGCGUAAAGCGUCUGUAGGUUGUGUGUUAAGUCUGACGUCAAAACUUGGGGCUCAACCCCAAAUCGCGUUGGAUACUGGCACGCUAGAAUUGUGUAGAGGUUAGCGGAAUUCCUAGUGAAGCGGUGAAAUGCGUAGAUAUUAGGAAGAACAUCAACAUGGCGAAGGCAGCUAACUGGGCACAUAUUGACACUGAGAGACGAAAGCGUGGGGAGCAAACAGGAUUAGAUACCCUGGUAGUCCACGCCGUAAACGAUGAUGAUUAGCUGAUGG
This 859-nucleotide ribosomal RNA is filed under the name Mycoplasmopsis gallopavonis. RNAcentral's name for it is "bacterial SSU rRNA". It matches the Rfam family "Bacterial small subunit ribosomal RNA", at positions 1 to 826 of the family's 1533-position model. Lineage: Bacteria; Bacillati; Mycoplasmatota; Mycoplasmoidales; Metamycoplasmataceae. The record is from RNAcentral.